RNAcentral lists this non-coding RNA (25 nucleotides) under Cricetulus griseus (Chinese hamster). Lineage: Eukaryota; Metazoa; Chordata; Mammalia; Rodentia; Cricetidae. The record is from RNAcentral.
GAAGAGUUGAGACUGGAGAAGAAAA